AGUCCAGAAGGAAAUUGGAAAUCAUGUGGAAAAAUGCUUUACCUUACUUAUAGUCAAUGAAGUGUAAAUUAAAAUGGCAGGGAGGUAUAGUUUUAUACCUAUCUAAUAAGUAAGCAUCUAAAAGCUGUUGUUUUCUUUUUUCUAAGGACAGAAACAAGAUAAAUUCCUGCAAUUCAGAAUAUCUUUUAUGUUGAAGAUGCUCAUCCCUCUGACCAUGUGUGAUGGACUGUAUAGAGAAAUUCCUGCACAUGGGAUUUAGAGCUAUGUAUAAAUAUGUUCACUGGCACAUUGUUCAAAGUGGCAAAACAUUAGAAACACCCAGAGUGGUUUACUCUUCAAGAGCAAUGAUUAAACAGAGUUAUGUCAUGAAAUUCUAUAUAGCAACUGAAAUGAAUAAAUUCCUCAAGCUUUUCCCCCCACCCCAGGGGAGAUAAAUCUUAGGAAAAGAGUGACAGCCAUUUUCACUUAUUUUGCCUGGAUUUCUGUUUAUCUUCAUUGCCAUAUACUUUUAUUUAUUUAUUAAAAAAGUUUUGCAGUGCUGGGAAUCUAAUUCCAGGUUUCACCUAGGCAAAUGCUCUACCACUGAGCUACAUUCCAAGCCCGUAUAUAUAGGCUUGGAUUUUCACCAUUGGAAUCAAAGACAUUUUGUUUUAAUUAUAGUUUUCCAACUCUGCUACUUUUUUGUUCAUGUACAAUUUUUUAAAUUAUUCUGUUUGUAGUCUUUAAGUGACAAUGAGACUUUUAUAUAUCUGUAAAUGAUGUGCAAGUUUCAUCCAAGGCAAAAGAAAGGAUUACAUCCUUUGGGUAGUCCUCCUUUUUAUUACCAUUAUCUUUUUGUUAUAAUUUUCAGUCAUAUUAAUUAUAUAGUGGGUUUCUCAGUGACAUUUCCACAUAUGAACAUAUCAUGCAUAGAAUGUAUCUACCCUCCCUGCUACCAUUUAUUGCACUCCCCUCUUCAGUUGAGUUUAGAGGGAUAGUGAUAAAGAAAAACUUGUUAUAAUGAUUACAGUCUAUGAGUACCAUUUAAUCACUAUCCUCAUUACCAAUAGAUUUUCAGUCUAAGUGUUAUGAAAAUUAUAGGGAGUAAAAUCACCUGUAGAAAAUAUCAAAAUUUUUUCCCAGGAUUUUGACAUGUAUGGUUAACAUCUUUAUUUCCACCAUAUUAAAAUAUUUGAUUUCAUUUUGAUGUUUCUUGAAAUUACAGAAAUCAAAAUGUGCACAAAAAGCUCACAUGUGAAUGUUUCAUAGCAGUAUAAUUCUGAUAGCCAAAAAGUGGAAACAACCCAAAUAACCACCAACAAAUGAAUGGAUAAGGCAAAAAUGAUCUAAUCAUAUAAUGGGACAUUCAGCCAUAAAAAAGGAUGGCAUACUGUUAAUUUUUGCUACUACCUGGAUGAACCUUGAAAGGAUUAUGGUAGGAUAGAAGAAGACAGACUCAAUAGACUAUUCUAAGAAUCUAUUGAAAUGAACUUUCCAGAAAUGGCAUAUCUAUAGAGUCAGAUAGCACAUCAGUGAUUGCCUGGAGAGUUGGAUAUGGGAAUGACAAGCAAUUGCUAAUGGGCAUGUCAUUUUUGGAUAAAAGAAAUAUUAAAAAUGAUGGAUGCAUAUCUCAGGGAAUAUAAUAAAAAUCAUGGGAUUUCAUACUUUAAAUGUGUGAAUUGUGGGGCUGGGGAUGUGGCUCAAGCGGUAGCGCGCUCGCCUGGCAUGCGUGCGGCCCGGGUUCGAUCUUCAGCACCACAUGCAAACAAAGAUGUUGUGUCUGCCGAUAACUAAAAAAUAAAUAUUAAAAAUCUCUCUCUUUCUCUCUCUCUCUCCCCCCUCUUAAAAAAUGUGUGAAUUGUAGGAUGUAUGAAUUAUGUCUCAAUAAGAUGUUGAAAACAUGGAGUAUAACUUAUUCUAAUUAGGAUCCCAGUCUUGUGGUCGUAUAUGAUGUGACAUUUCACUUGUGGUAUAUUCAUAUAUGUACGUAGGAAAGUUCUAUCUGAUUCAUUCUACUGUCUUUCCUAAGCCAUUUCCCCUCCCUUCCCUUCAUUCCCCUCUUUCUAAUCCACUGAACUUUUAUUCUUCCCUUCCUCCCCCACUUACAGUGUGUUACUAUCCGCAUAUCAGAGAGAACAUUCGACCUUUGUUUUUGGGAUUGACUUAUUUCACUUAGUAUGAUAGUCUCCAGAUCCAUCCAUUAGCCAGAAAAAGUCAUAAAGUCAUUCUGUUUUUUUGACUAAGUAAUAUUCCAGAAGCUGUAAGAAAAUUUAACUUCCUUUUUGUAAAAUGUACUCUGAAAAAUGACUGUGUGGCUUGAAUGCAUUACAUGGAUAUUAAAUAUAUGCAGUGAUAGAACUUAAAAAAAUAAGAUGCUAAUUAUAUGGCAAAUAAAACUAUUAUUGUGUGAAGAAAAAUCCAUCAUUCUCCCCACCACCUUACCAUAUUCAAAUCUCUUCAUCUAAUAGGCAACGUAACCAUGCAUAGUUUGGGGUCAAUCUUCCCAUGCUUUUCUUUAUGCUUGUAUAGCCACACAUAUGCAAGCAUGUAGUUUCCUCCAUUUACAUAUUACAGAAAUAAAACAACACUACCAAUGACACUGUGAACCCUCUUAGCUCACUUCCUACUGGGUUUUAGAGACUGGUACUGGCACUGGGAAACUGUGUACCUUGAAAAAAAUUGUUUGAACCCUUUGUGCAUCAAUGUCCUCUUUUAUAAAACAUGAAUAAAAAUGGUAACUAUGACCCAAGGAUUAAUUGUGUUAAUAUGUGUAAGUUCUUAGAAUAGUGCCUGUUACAUUGUAAGCACUAUAUAUAUUUUAGGUAUUAGUUUUCUUUCUAGAAGUAGUUCAUCUAAGAAGACAUUUCCCACCUUUUGGAAAAGAGCUCUCUUUUAUAACUAUUUUGUGAUAUUUUUCUUAAUUGUAUGUAAAGUAAGAUCUUGUAAGGUAAUACUGUUUUAAAUGUUUCUAAUAUAUCCCUUUAUUGUUUUAUGCUUUCUGAAUAAAAGGAGAGACCUUUAACUUUAUA
This 3008-nucleotide long non-coding RNA is filed under the name Marmota monax (woodchuck). Lineage: Eukaryota; Metazoa; Chordata; Mammalia; Rodentia; Sciuridae. The record is from RNAcentral.